Molecule: small RNA, 355 nt
Filed under: uncultured fungus
Lineage: Eukaryota; Fungi
Description: eukaryotic LSU rRNA
Rfam family: 5.8S ribosomal RNA (bases 1-119)
Source: RNAcentral
AUGAAGAACGCAGCGAAAUGCGAUAAGUAAUGUGAAUUGCAGAAUUCAGUGAAUCAUCGAAUCUUUGAACGCAUCUUGCGCUCCUUGGUAUUCCGAGGAGCAUGCCUGUUUGAGUGUCAUUUAAAACUUCUCAACCAUUUGGAGUCUCUCCGGGUGGCUUGGAAAUGGGGGAUGUGCAGGCCAGCAAUGGUCUGCUCCCCUGAAAUGAAUUAGUGGCAUCUGAGCAGAGACUACCACAGGUGUGAUAACUAUUGAUCAAUGCCUUGGUAUAUACUGCAGGUUGUUGCUGCUUCUAAUGUAAUGACCCAUUGACAAACUUGACCUCAAAUCAGGUAGGAUUACCCGCUGAACUUAA